AGCAGGUCCCAAGGGUAUGGCUGUUCGCCAUUUAAAGUGGUACGCGAGCUGGGUUUAGAACGUCGUGAGACAGUUCGGUCCCUAUCUGCCGUGGGCGUUGGAGACUUGAGGGAAGCUGCUCCUAGUACGAGAGGACCGGAGUGGACGUACCUCUGGUGUUCCGGUUGUCACGCCAGUGGCACUGCCGGGUAGCUAUGUACGGACGGGAUAACCGCUGAAAGCAUCUAAGCGGGAAGCCCCUCCCAAGAUAAGGUCUCCCUGGACCCUUGAGGUCCCUAAAGGUCCGUCGAAGACUACGACGUUGAUAGGCGGGAUGUGGAAGCGCGGUAACGUGUGAAGCUAACCCGUACUAAUUGACCGUGCGGCUUGACCAUAUAACACCCAAGCAUUUUGG
Molecule: ribosomal RNA, 394 nt
Filed under: Chromatiaceae bacterium
Lineage: Bacteria; Pseudomonadati; Pseudomonadota; Gammaproteobacteria; Chromatiales; Chromatiaceae
Description: partial 23S ribosomal RNA
Rfam family: Bacterial large subunit ribosomal RNA
Source: RNAcentral